GCUGGGCAUGGUGGUGCACACCUGUAAUCCCAGCAAUUUGGGAGGCUUAGGUAGGAGGAUUACAAGUUUGAGGCUAGCCUCAGCAAUUUAAUGAUACCCUAUU
This 103-nucleotide small RNA is filed under the name Marmota monax (woodchuck). The record is from RNAcentral. Lineage: Eukaryota; Metazoa; Chordata; Mammalia; Rodentia; Sciuridae.